RNAcentral lists this ribosomal RNA (2847 nucleotides) under Triticum aestivum (bread wheat). RNAcentral describes it as "partial small subunit ribosomal RNA". The record is from RNAcentral. Lineage: Eukaryota; Viridiplantae; Streptophyta; Magnoliopsida; Poales; Poaceae.
AUGGUAGCUAAAUCGGUUGGGGAGGAUGCCUUGACUCCACUCUUCUUGAUAUUCUUCCUUGCCUUCCCUGGUGCUUUCCUUGUUCUGCUUGUUCUGCUCCGCCUGUUUUUGCGGGGGAGCUCUGCUCCACCUCUUGCCGAGCUGUGGCUGAUUCUGGGAUUCUCCGCCCAGGCUCCUUUUCCUCCCCCAGUUCCUUGUGUCCCUCGAUGCUUGGCUAUCCUAGGUGGCCGCCCUGGCUCCUGGGUCUUGGUUCUUGAGGAGAAAUGCUACUUCCUCCGGCGUCCCCUUCCACGUGACUUCCACAAAUCUUCACCUACUCCCCGAUCUCUCACCCUCACUCUCUCUGCGUGUGAUCCCCUGCUCCCGCACCGCCCAUUGCUUUUGAUUCCCAGCCCGCCACCCCCCGCCAGGCACGAGAAGCAGUUCUUGUCAAAGGAUUCUGUGGCAGCACAUACUAAGAAAUUUUCCUGGCUCCGCCACUGCAUCCAGCUGCUUAUCCUUGCAAUGGCGUUCAAAAUCAUCCUAAGUAUCGUACACAAGGAUGGCGAAAUACUCAACCCUAUAGUUAUUCAAUUCAUCGUCGCCCUCACUACAGCGCUCAUGGUGACCCGAUUUGUGCUGGAUGCUUUGCGGCAUCGGUCAACAGGCAACGCCAUGAGAAUGACUCUGAUCGUUAUGGACGCAGUAACCCAAGCAUUGACCAUAUACAGUCUUGGGAUCAUGCAACGCCCCUCCGAUAAGGACUACUACUACAAGGUGUGGGCUGUGCUGUUGGUCACCCUCCGUUACAGCGUCAAGAUAGGCCGCCCGGCCGGCAUCGCCCUGAAGCAAACCCCGUUGGUAGACCUCAUGUCCUCCUUCUGGUCUGCCAACAUCCUCCGCUCUAAGGCGCCCAAGAUUCUCAAGGUAACUGGUUGGCUGCUUUGGUCAGUCAACUCUUUACGCAUCAUCUAUGGUUUUAUCUCCUCUGAAUUUGCCAACGAUAGCCACAGAGAGGAUUUGAGACUAUUAACAGAGUACAUGCGUCAUGAGCACAAAGCUGGUGGUGGGGGUGAUGGUGACCCUGUCACAAUGAAGGGGUACCGGUACUUGGUGCGGGGCGAAGCCAAGAAACGGAAGAUGAAGAAGAACGAAACCGGCGGACAAGCAAGAGAUACUGGUAUGGUAGAGGAAACUGGGAAUAUCAGGAGGCUCUUGCUGGCGUUGAGAGAUGAGCACAAGGAGAUCCUGACGCUUGAGAAGAUCUGGGAGGAGCCGGCCGAUCCGGCUGACGCCCUUGACGAGGAGCUCAAGGACCUCUGCCUCUCCUUUGCACUCUACAAGCUCCUUCGCAGGCGCUUCUUCAACUUCGGCAUCCAUGAGGCCAAGCUGAAAAGGACAAGACGGCUGGUUCUUGAUGGGAUCCUCAGUGAGCCCUGCAACUCCGAAAGGGCGUUCCGUGUCAGCGAGGCUGAGUUGUCUUUCCUCAAUGAUUUCUUCAAUAGCAGGCAUGCCAUAGUAUUUGCAAAAGGUUUUCCAUUCAUCCGGCUCCUGCUAUCCACCAUUCUGAUAGGGGGGAUUGGAGGCAUGGCGGUUGCUAUCUAUAGCUUUUCCAAGGUUGGCACAAGAGACGAGCUCGGCAAUGUUCAUGGUGGAGUAACUUUUACAUGGUUUCUCCUGUGUUUCCUUUUUGUAAAAGAGACAUGGGAGAUCACAACUUACGUGUUCUCAGACUGGACCAAGAUAAUUUUGUUGUGCCAGUACGUGCAGAAGCCAUGGUGGCUGCAAAGCCCGGUGACCAAGGUUCUUGUGCGGAAGCUCUGCAGGCUCUCUGUGCCCUGGUUGCCAAGAUGGCAUGGAAAGGUUGGCCAAUGCAACCUUCUCUUCCCCUCCUGUUUUGUCUUCCCCACCAAUUUGUUCUUUCCAGAAGGAUGUUCCAGGUACUUUGUACAUCUGUCCCAGGAAGUGAAGCGUGCUGUGAUCAACUGUCUCAGAGACUGCUUGGCUGAGGAUCCCCCGCGGUUGGACAACUACCUUGAGCGAGCAUUUGGCAAAGUCGAGGCAACUGCCGGUUUUCGCGCAAAUUUCACCGGAGCGGUAAAUGGCGUGAAGGAUUCUGUGCACAUUCUGCUGGUUUGGCAUAUUGCUACAUGCUACUGCGAGAUUGAUCUCGCUGAAAACAGAGAGGUCUCAGCCAGUAUGUAUUGGAGUGGGCAAGACUUUGGCCGGCGCAAACCUUGGGAAGGCGAUUCAGAUCUUCUGUGGUCUCAGUACAUGAUUGCUAGGACAUUGUCGCAGUACUGCGCGUAUGCGCUCACACUGGUUCCUCCUCUAGUGCCUGGGAACAGCCUAAUGGCCAGGUCGGUGCUGAUAAAGGUGCGUCAAGAAAAAAGUCGCCUUUUCAACGGAAAAUUUGACUCAUGUGCUCCUUGUUAUCAGUCCACCCAGAUGCUUGGACGGCUCAAGAAAUAUGCAUCAGAGGAGAUAGAAUUGUAUAAUAAAAAAGUGGACGGGGGAAAACAGGACGAGGAAAACCAGGAUGGGAAAAAAGAGGAAAAUCUAGACGACACCAUAUUGAAGAAGGGGGCAGAUCUUGGCAAGAAGCUGGCAGAAGCGUUCAGCGGUGACAAGCCGGAAGAUCUGUGGAGCUUCUUGUCAGAGUUCUGGGCAGGAUUUGUUAUCCACCUGGCUGCAUCUACAAGGGCUUCUCAGCACAAGAUAUUUCUGAGCUCUGGCGGGGAGCUCAUGACACAUCUCUGGGCGUUGCUAACCCAUGCCGGCAUCCUAGGGGAGGUCCAGCACGGCGACCAAGAUUUUGAUACAGCACUAACGCAAGAAGAUGUUUACGAUCAGACUGUGCAGUCUUAG